CAGCUUAGCUCUUAAAAAGCUUUAGUAAACUUCUAGGAAUGAUGCUUUUACAGCUGACAGAUGAGCCACCCUGAUGGGUUAUUAGUCACGCAAGUCUCAAAAUGACAAAACAAAAUGCUUCAAGGCAACAGCUGGAGCUUGAAAUUAAUAAUAAAAAGUAGUUGAGCUGA
Molecule: long non-coding RNA, 170 nt
Organism: Vidua chalybeata
Lineage: Eukaryota; Metazoa; Chordata; Aves; Passeriformes; Viduidae
Exons: 2
Source: RefSeq, a predicted model, not a curated record